Molecule: transfer RNA, 72 nt
Filed under: Microcaldota archaeon
Lineage: Archaea; Nanobdellati; Microcaldota
Description: tRNA-Thr
Rfam family: tRNA
About the family: Transfer RNA (tRNA) molecules are approximately 80 nucleotides in length.
Source: RNAcentral
GCCUUCGUAACUCAACGGUAGAGUGCUUGCCUUGUAAGCAAGAAGUUGGGGGUUCAAAUCCCCUCGGAGGCU